AUGCUUCAAGUGGGAACUGUCUCAUCCAUCUGAGCAGGACAACUGAAUGAAUGCCGCUGACCAGCGUGACCGGUCGAUUAGUGGCCA
This 87-nucleotide transfer RNA is filed under the name Gossypium harknessii. Its description in RNAcentral is "tRNA-Ser". Lineage: Eukaryota; Viridiplantae; Streptophyta; Magnoliopsida; Malvales; Malvaceae. The record is from RNAcentral.